CAGGUGUUCUCUUUUUAAAGCUAAAAGGACGCCAAGCGCCAAAUUGGUUUCAUUUACCCGAAGUCAACUGUCUGUCACCCGGAAGCAGAUGAUCUUCCUCCUGACAAUCAUCAGAAGGUCAACAUUGGCCUGAGGCUACAUCACAGUGCCUACAUAAUUUACGUCAUUUCAUCUCAUCACGCAGGCAUUUAUUAUGUACCCAGAAGAAGGGUGUCCUACAAGAAGAUAUUGUUGACAAAGAGCAGCGAGAAGAGAAGAGAAGCAGCAGCUAAAUCUGGCUCUCUGUUAAGGUGAUAAGAGACUAUCUCUCAUUUAGAGACAGUUUGACGAUGGUGGCAGUAUACUUUUUGUGAUGAGAGCACACAGAGACAGCAUAUAGAAGAAAGAACCCGGCAAUCUUUUAAUAACUGUUUUUUAAAAUAAAAACAA
Molecule: long non-coding RNA, 429 nt
Organism: Suricata suricatta (meerkat)
Lineage: Eukaryota; Metazoa; Chordata; Mammalia; Carnivora; Herpestidae
Exons: 3
Source: RefSeq, a predicted model, not a curated record